This 334-nucleotide ribosomal RNA is filed under the name uncultured bacterium. RNAcentral's name for it is "bacterial SSU rRNA". It matches the Rfam family "Bacterial small subunit ribosomal RNA", at positions 568 to 898 of the family's 1533-position model. The record is from RNAcentral.
CGUGUAGGCGGUCGGUCAAGUCCGAUGUGAAAGCCCGGGGCUUACCUCCGGAAGUGCAUCGGAAACUAGCCGGCUGGAGCGCGAUAGAGGAGGGUAGAAUUCCUGGUGUAGCGGUGAAAUGCGUAGAUAUCAGGAGGAAUACCGGCGGCGAAGGCGGCCCUCUGGAUCGUUGCUGACGCUGAGACGCGAAAGCGUGGGGAGCGAACAGGAUUAGAUACCCUGGUAGUCCACGCUGUAAAACGAUGGGUACUAGGUGUUCGGGGUAUUGACCCCCUGAGUGCCGCAGCUAACGCAUUAAGUACCCCGCCUGGGGACUACGGCCGCGAAGGUUAAA